Molecule: ribosomal RNA, 1207 nt
Filed under: Salmonella enterica subsp. enterica serovar Oranienburg
Lineage: Bacteria; Pseudomonadati; Pseudomonadota; Gammaproteobacteria; Enterobacterales; Enterobacteriaceae
Description: partial 23S ribosomal RNA
Rfam family: Bacterial large subunit ribosomal RNA
Source: RNAcentral
CCGAGAUUCCCCCAGUAGCGGCGAGCGAACGGGGAGGAGCCCAGAGCCUGAAUCAGCAUGUGUGUUAGUGGAAGCGUCUGGAAAGGCGCGCGAUACAGGGUGACAGCCCCGUACACAAAAGCGCAUGUGCUGUGAGCUCGAUGAGUAGGGCGGGACACGUGGUAUCCUGUCUGAAUAUGGGGGGACCAUCCUCCAAGGCUAAAUACUCCUGACUGACCGAUAGUGAACCAGUACCGUGAGGGAAAGGCGAAAAGAACCCCGGCGAGGGGAGUGAAAAAGAACCUGAAACCGUGUACGUACAAGCAGUGGGAGCACCCUUUGGGGUGUGACUGCGUACCUUUUGUAUAAUGGGUCAGCGACUUAUAUUCUGUAGCAAGGUUAACCGUAUAGGGGAGCCGGAGGGAAACCGAGUCUUAACCGGGCGUUAAGUUGCAGGGUAUAGACCCGAAACCCGGUGAUCUAGCCAUGGGCAGGUUGAAGGUUGGGUAACACUAACUGGAGGACCGAACCGACUAAUGUUGAAAAAUUAGCGGAUGACCUGUGGCUGGGGGUGAAAGGCCAAUCAAACCGGGAGAUAGCUGGUUCUCCCCGAAAGCUAUUUAGGUAGCGCCUCGUGAAUUCAUCUCCGGGGGUAGAGCACUGUUUCGGCUAGGGGGCCAUCCCGGCUUACCAACCCGAUGCAAACUGCGAAUACCGGAGAAUGUUAUCACGGGAGACACACGGCGGGUGCUAACGUCCGUCGUGAAGAGGGAAACAACCCAGACCGCCAGCUAAGGUCCCAAAGUCAUGGUUAAGUGGGAAACGAUGUGGGAAGGCCCAGACAGCCAGGAUGUUGGCUUAGAAGCAGCCAUCAUUUAAAGAAAGCGUAAUAGCUCACUGGUCGAGUCGGCCUGCGCGGAAGAUGUAACGGGGCUAAACCAUGCACCGAAGCUGCGGCAGCGACACUCAGGUGUUGUUGGGUAGGGGAGCGUUCUGUAAGCCUGCGAAGGUGUGUCGUGAGGCAUGCUGGAGGUAUCAGAAGUGCGAAUGCUGACAUAAGUAACGAUAAAGCGGGUGAAAAGCCCGCUCGCCGGAAGACCAAGGGUUCCUGUCCAACGUUAAUCGGGGCAGGGUGAGUCGACCCCUAAGGCGAGGCCGAAAGGCGUAGUCGAUGGGAAACGGGUUAAUAUUCCCGUACUUGGUGUUACUGCGAAGGGGGGACGGAGAA